CUCUCACACAGCGGGACUGGAGGUCUGUUAUCUUGAUGAAACAGGGCUGCGUGGAGAGCAUAAGGACGUUGGGGUGGGGCUCGUUAGCCGCAGUCACUUCGUGCGGGAAGGCAGCUUCUAAGGAAGUUUUGCUGGGUCCAGCAUGUUGGCUCAUGCCUGAAAUUCUAGCACUCGGGAGGCGGAGGCAGGAGUAUGGCCAUGAAUUCAAGAGCUGUGUUGGGGAGCCCCCCAGUUUUUCCUCUUCGGUUGCUAUGACACCCACCUACUCCAUCGAUGUAGGUAGACCUACCAAGUAUUCCUUUCGAAGGCUGAAGUGAAGACCCUGGUGUGAAGUCUCCACCUAUCUGCAGUUACUGGAAGCACAAAUCCUGAUGGAUGAGCCAUUUUAACCCACAUCACCAAACGAUGGGAAAAAUUCUUUAAGAAUGGACAAGUGCCUGUGUUAGGUCACAGUUUCUUAAUCCUUCUGGCAAUUACAACGCCCCAGGAGGCCUAACAGUUUGCAGUGCCUAGGUUGGGACCCUAGACUUGUAAGAAGCACCUUUCCUGCUGACACCACCCAUCAGUGUGUAAGUUAAUUUUCCCGAAGGGUGACAAACACACACAAUGUGCACAUGUCUCUAACAAGCCCACAUCUGAGUGUAGCCUCAACAGAUCUGAAAGCAGAGUCUUGAAAAUAUCUGUACACCCAUGCUCACAACAGUCACAGUAGCUGAAAACACCAUGCAUCCAUCAGUGUAGAUACAAAUGAACGGAAUGUGGUGUAGACACAAAGAUCAGCACUCAACUUCACAAAGCGAAUUGCAAUGCGUACUAAAACAGGCAAAGCAUCAUGUUAAGGAAAGUAAGCAGUGGUAAGGAGACAGUUAGAGCAAGCUUCCAUUUCUAAGAGAAACCUAGUCCGAUUCAGAGACGGAAAGAGCAAGAGCUGGGGAUAGGUGGGGCUGAUUAAUUCAUAAAGUGUCGGCUUUGCAUAAUAGCUUAAGCUCAUUCUCUAUUCCUAAACCCCAACACUUAGAAUGGUGUGUUAAUUUGUUUGUUUGUUUGUUUGGUCGCUUGCUUGCUUAAGACAGACUCUUACUAUGUAGCCCUGACUGGCCUACCUAGUAGAUACAACUGUGUAUACCAGGUUGGCUUCAAAAUCACAGAAAUCCACCUGCCUCUACUCCUAAAUGAUGGGAUUAAAGGCAUGCACCACCACA
This is a long non-coding RNA of Mus musculus (house mouse), 1202 nucleotides long. RefSeq annotates it as predicted gene, 41301. The transcript is spliced from 3 exons. The record is from RefSeq and is a predicted model, not a curated record. Lineage: Eukaryota; Metazoa; Chordata; Mammalia; Rodentia; Muridae.